This 662-nucleotide ribosomal RNA is filed under the name Lactobacillus sp. LQC 1958. Its description in RNAcentral is "bacterial SSU rRNA". It matches the Rfam family "Bacterial small subunit ribosomal RNA", at positions 106 to 757 of the family's 1533-position model. The record is from RNAcentral. Lineage: Bacteria; Bacillati; Bacillota; Bacilli; Lactobacillales; Lactobacillaceae.
GUGAGUAACACGUGGGAAACCUGCCCAGAAGCGGGGGAUAACACCUGGAAACAGAUGCUAAUACCGCAUAACAACUUGGACCGCAUGGUCCGAGCUUGAAAGAUGGCUUCGGCUAUCACUUUUGGAUGGUCCCGCGGCGUAUUAGCUAGUGGUGGGGUAACGGCUCACCAUGGCAAUGAUACGUAGCCGCCUGAGAGGGUAAUCGGCCACACUGGGACUGAGACACGGCCCAAACUCCUACGGAGGCAGCAGUAGGGAAUCUUCCACAAUGGACGAAAGUCUGAUGGAGCAACGCCGCGUGAGUGAAGAAGGGUUUCGGCUCGUAAAACUCUGUUGUUAAAGAAGAACAUAUCUGAGAGAAACUGUUCAGGUAUUGACGGUAUUUAACCAGAAAGCCACGGCUAACUACGUGCCAGCAGCCGCGGUAAUACGUAGGUGCAAGCGUUGUCCGGAUUUAUUGGGCGUAAAGCGAGCGCAGGCGGUUUUUUAAGUCUGAUGUGAAAGCCUUCGGCUCAACCGAAGAAGUGCAUCGGGAAACUGGGAAACUUGAGUGCAGAAGAGGACAGUGGAACUCCAUGUGUAGCGGUGAAAUGCGUAGAUAUAUGGAAGAACACCAGUGGCGAAGGCGGCUGUCUGGUCUGUAACUGACGCUGAGGCUCGAA